GGGUUAGAUAGAAGCUUGUUUUUUGUUUAUAUUUUUAUUUUAUGGGGGAUAUCUGAUUUUUCCAAUAGUUGAAUUUUUAAAAAAUAUGUUAAAGGGUGAGAAGACAAAGUUUGUGCCAGCAGUCGCGGUCAUACCUUAUUCUUAAAAUUUGCUUUUCUUUUAAGAUUUUAAUUUUUAGUUUUAUACUUUAGGGGUGAAAUUUUAAAGUAAGGUUUUUUAGUUGAAUGAGUGUAACUUGUUAAAAAAUAGGAUUAGAUACCCUAGUAUUUUAAGGGUUAUUUUUAGGUAUUAAAUUAUUUUAAUUAAACUUAAUCUUUCUGGCGGUUUACUACCCUUUCACAGGAAUUUGUUAAUUUUAAAAGAUAACCCGCUUUUAUUAUAACCAGUUUUAUAUUUUAUGUACGGCUGUUAAGCUUUAAUUUGAUUAUUUUUGCUAUAAAAUUUUUCUUAAAGUUCAGGUCUAUGUGUAGAGAAUAGAUUGGUUUUUAAUUAGUUACCCUAAUAGGGAUAGGUUUUUAUUUACUUAUUAAAUAUGGAUGUGAAAGUAAAAUAAGAAUAAAAUUCUUGUUUGAUUAGGACCUAGUGAAAGUACAUAUCGCCCGUCACUCUUUUGAUAGAUAAGUCGUAACAAAGUAGGGGUACCGGAAGGUGUCUCUUGUUU
Molecule: non-coding RNA, 661 nt
Filed under: Dermatophagoides farinae (American house dust mite)
Lineage: Eukaryota; Metazoa; Arthropoda; Arachnida; Sarcoptiformes; Pyroglyphidae
Source: RNAcentral